CCCGCCGAAUUUAAGCAUAUAAGUAAGCGGAGGAAAAGGAACUAAACAGGAUUCCCUUAGUAAUGGCGAACGAACAGGGAUCAGCUUGGGUUGGAAACCGGGGCUUCUGCCUUGGAUUGUGGCCUUUAGACAUACUACCAACGGCGGCGCGAGCGUAAGCCUCUUGGAACAGAGCGUCUACGUGGGUGAGAAUCCUGUGUUUCGCUUGAUGCCCGCCGUGCACGGUACUUGCUCUCAGAGUCACGCUCCUCGGAAUUGGAGCGUAAAUUGGGUGGUAAAUUUCAUCUAAAGCUAAAUACAGGCUAAGAUUCGUGUCUAGACCUCAUGUCUUGUGAUU
This is a ribosomal RNA of 337 nucleotides. It matches the Rfam family "Eukaryotic large subunit ribosomal RNA", at positions 24 to 358 of the family's 3401-position model. The record is from Rfam.